GGGUUGUGAGGUUAAGCGACUAAGCGUACACGGUGGAUGCCCUGGCAGUCAGAGGCGAUGAAGGACGUGCUAAUCUGCGAUAAGCGUCGGUAAGGUGAUAUGAACCGUUAUAACCGGCGAUUUCCGAAUGGGGAAACCCAGUGUGAUUCGUCACACUAUCAUUAACUGAAUCCAUAGGUUAAUGAGGCGAACCGGGGGAACUGAAACAUCUAAGUACCCCGAGGAAAAGAAAUCAACCGAGAUUCCCCCAGUAGCGGCGAGCGAACGGGGAGGAGCCCAGAGCCUGAAUCAGUGUGUGUGUUAGUGGAAGCGUCUGGAAAGGCGCGCGAUACAGGGUGACAGCCCCGUACACAAAAAUGCACAUGCUGUGAGCUCGAUGAGUAGGGCGGGACACGUGGUAUCCUGUCUGAAUAUGGGGGGACCAUCCUCCAAGGCUAAAUACUCCUGACUGACCGAUAGUGAACCAGUACCGUGAGGGAAAGGCGAAAAGAACCCCGGCGAGGGGAGUGAAAAAGAACCUGAAACCGUGUACGUACAAGCAGUGGGAGCACGCUUAGGCGUGUGACUGCGUACCUUUUGUAUAAUGGGUCAGCGACUUAUAUUCUGUAGCAAGGUUAACCGAAUAGGGGAGCCGAAGGGAAACCGAGUCUUAACUGGGCGUUAAGUUGCAGGGUAUAGACCCGAAACCCGGUGAUCUAGCCAUGGGCAGGUUGAAGGUUGGGUAACACUAACUGGAGGACCGAACCGACUAAUGUUGAAAAAUUAGCGGAUGACUUGUGGCUGGGGGUGAAAGGCCAAUCAAACCGGGAGAUAGCUGGUUCUCCCCGAAAGCUAUUUAGGUAGCGCCUCGUGAAUUCAUCUCCGGGGGUAGAGCACUGUUUCGGCAAGGGGGUCAUCCCGACUUACCAACCCGAUGCAAACUGCGAAUACCGGAGAAUGUUAUCACGGGAGACACACGGCGGGUGCUAACGUCCGUCGUGAAGAGGGAAACAACCCAGACCGCCAGCUAAGGUCCCAAAGUCAUGGUUAAGUGGGAAACGAUGUGGGAAGGCCCAGACAGCCAGGAUGUUGGCUUAGAAGCAGCCAUCAUUUAAAGAAAGCGUAAUAGCUCACUGGUCGAGUCGGCCUGCGCGGAAGAUGUAACGGGGCUAAACCAUGCACCGAAGCUGCGGCAGCGACGCUUAUGCGUUGUUGGGUAGGGGAGCGUUCUGUAAGCCUGCGAAGGUGUGCUGUGAGGCAUGCUGGAGGUAUCAGAAGUGCGAAUGCUGACAUAAGUAACGAUAAAGCGGGUGAAAAGCCCGCUCGCCGGAAGACCAAGGGUUCCUGUCCAACGUUAAUCGGGGCAGGGUGAGUCGACCCCUAAGGCGAGGCCGAAAGGCGUAGUCGAUGGGAAACAGGUUAAUAUUCCUGUACUUGGUGUUACUGCGAAGGGGGGACGGAGAAGGCUAUGUUGGCCGGGCGACGGUUGUCCCGGUUUAAGCGUGUAGGCUGGUUUUCCAGGCAAAUCCGGAAAACUAAGGCUGAGGCGUGAUGACGAGGCACUACGGUGCUGAAGCAACAAAUGCCCUGCUUCCAGGAAAAGCCUCUAAGCAUCAGGUAACAUCAAAUCGUACCCCAAACCGACACAGGUGGUCAGGUAGAGAAUACCAAGGCGCUUGAGAGAACUCGGGUGAAGGAACUAGGCAAAAUGGUGCCGUAACUUCGGGAGAAGGCACGCUGAUAUGUAGGUGAAGCGACUUGCUCGUGGAGCUGAAAUCAGUCGAAGAUACCAGCUGGCUGCAACUGUUUAUUAAAAACACAGCACUGUGCAAACACGAAAGUGGACGUAUACGGUGUGACGCCUGCCCGGUGCCGGAAGGUUAAUUGAUGGGGUCAGCGCAAGCGAAGCUCUUGAUCGAAGCCCCGGUAAACGGCGGCCGUAACUAUAACGGUCCUAAGGUAGCGAAAUUCCUUGUCGGGUAAGUUCCGACCUGCACGAAUGGCGUAAUGAUGGCCAGGCUGUCUCCACCCGAGACUCAGUGAAAUUGAACUCGCUGUGAAGAUGCAGUGUACCCGCGGCAAGACGGAAAGACCCCGUGAACCUUUACUAUAGCUUGACACUGAACAUUGAGCCUUGAUGUGUAGGAUAGGUGGGAGGCUUUGAAGUGUGGACGCCAGUCUGCAUGGAGCCGACCUUGAAAUACCACCCUUUAAUGUUUGAUGUUCUAACGUUGACCCGU
RNAcentral lists this ribosomal RNA (2219 nucleotides) under Escherichia coli. Its description in RNAcentral is "partial 23S ribosomal RNA". It matches the Rfam family "Bacterial large subunit ribosomal RNA", at positions 1 to 2236 of the family's 2925-position model. Lineage: Bacteria; Pseudomonadati; Pseudomonadota; Gammaproteobacteria; Enterobacterales; Enterobacteriaceae. The record is from RNAcentral.